RNAcentral lists this small RNA (81 nucleotides) under bovine gut metagenome. RNAcentral describes it as "RAGATH-35 RNA". It matches the Rfam family "RAGATH-35 RNA", at positions 10 to 86 of the family's 87-position model. Rfam says of the family: Clostridium (Firmicutes). Nearby to self-cleaving ribozyme genes The record is from RNAcentral.
GCAGCGGGGCUUUGACCGCUAUCGGAAAGGCCAGGGGAUCAACUCAUCAACGGUUUUGUUUUCCCUUAUCCGUUUGAGUGA